AUACGUAGGUGGCAAGCGUUGUCCGGAAUUAUUGGGCGUAAAGCGCGCGCAGGCGGUCCUUUAAGUCUGAUGUGAAAGCCCACGGCUCAACCGUGGAGGGUCAUUGGAAACUGGGGGACUUGAGUGCAGAAGAGGAAAGUGGAAUUCCAAGUGUAGCGGUGAAAUGCGUAGAGAUUUGGAGGAACACCAGUGGCGAAGGCGACUUUCUGGUCGGUAACAGAGGCUGAGGCGCGAAAGCGUGGGGAGCAAACAGGAUAAGAUACCCUGGUAGUCCGCGCCGUAAACGAUGAGUGCUAAGUGUUAGGGGGUUUCCGCCCCUUAGUGCUGCAGCUAACGCAUUAAGCACUCCGCCUGGGGAGUACGGUCGCAAGACUGAAACUCAAAUGAAUUGGCGGGG
Molecule: ribosomal RNA, 397 nt
Filed under: uncultured bacterium
Lineage: Bacteria
Description: partial 16S ribosomal RNA
Rfam family: Bacterial small subunit ribosomal RNA
Source: RNAcentral